AAUGGGCGAAAGCCUGACGCAGCAACGCCGCGUGCGGGAUGACGGCCUUCGUGGUUGUAAACCGCUUUCAGCAGGGACGAAAAUGACGGUACCUGCAGAAGAAGCCCCGGCUAACUACGUGCCAGCAGCCGCGGUAAUACGUAGGGGGCAAGCGUUGUCCGGAUUCAUUGGGCGUAAAGAGCUCGUAGGCGGUUCAGUAAGUUGGGUGUGAAAGCUCCGGGCUCAACCCGGAGAGGCCACCCAAUACUGCUGUGACUAGAGUCCAGUAGAGGAGCGUGGAAUUCCUGGUGUAGCGGUGAAAUGCGCAGAUAUCAGGAGGAACACCAUUAGCGAAGGCGGCGCUCUGGGCUGGAACUGACGCUGAGGAGCGAAAGCGUGGGUAGCAAA
Molecule: ribosomal RNA, 387 nt
Filed under: uncultured bacterium
Lineage: Bacteria
Description: bacterial SSU rRNA
Rfam family: Bacterial small subunit ribosomal RNA
Source: RNAcentral